This is a long non-coding RNA of Protopterus annectens (West African lungfish), 509 nucleotides long. RefSeq lists it as uncharacterized. The transcript is spliced from 3 exons. The record is from RefSeq and is a predicted model, not a curated record. NCBI's taxonomy places the organism in Eukaryota, Metazoa, Chordata, Ceratodontiformes, Protopteridae.
GGUUCAUUUCAGCUGUAGAAAGCAAAGGUAACAGCAGUUAGCAUUUGGCUGUCUCAGCUUCUUACAAAUGGAAUUCUACAGCCUAUGAACUCAGUGUUUCCAAAUCAGUGCAGAUUUCCUUCCGCUUAAGUCUUAACAGUGCAGAAUUUACUUCACUGUUUACAGCAUCAAGUUAAUGAGUUCCACAGCAUAAAUGAGCAUAUUCGACAUUCCUGCUGCAUGUUACCGAAGACAUGGAUGUGUUGCAGACAUCUGCAGACUUCAUCUCUAUCCACGCACAUUCACAGGAGUCUGAGUUCUUUUUCAUGAAUAUUCCAGAGCAAUUUAUGCUCAAAAGCGGCCAUACAUGUUUUCCUGUUUCUAUGAUUCAUAGACAUUAACAUAAAAUUUCCUAAUUUGCAUACAAAAUUUGUAAACAGACCUGAAUUUAUGUGAAAAAGUUGAAUACUCUUAGUUAACUGCUGACUUUCUAAAGUAAGAAAAUAGUAAAAAAAAUAUUAUAAUUUAAU